This is a long non-coding RNA of Gallus gallus (chicken), 662 nucleotides long. Lineage: Eukaryota; Metazoa; Chordata; Aves; Galliformes; Phasianidae. The record is from Ensembl.
UGGAAGGCCACAGUGAGGUCUCUGCAGAGCCCAGCUCAGCCCUUCUUCAUAUGAGAAGGGAUUAUGGCAGUGUCUGUUCAUUGCUUGGCCUGGGAGCAGAGUGCUGUAUGAUGUCCUUCGUGCUUGUUCAGAAGAGGGAUCAACGAGGUGGUUUUGAACCAAGGACUGCAGCCAGUCAUUACACUGAAAACAGCAGAGGUGAUACUUUGCAGUCUGUGUAGAAUCCAGGAGCACAGCCAGAGCUUCUAUUUCAAGUGAGAUAACGCUGCGUGUUGAUAGAGAACCCAGGGGAAAAUGAUGCUAGAGAAGAAGGGAUGGAGCAGAACCUUCGGCAGGACAGCAUGGAACCCACAGCACAGAAGCAGAGCAGGGGAACAAAGCGUGCCUCACAGGUCAGUAAUGAAGGCAGUUGAAGGGUGAUGGGAGCAGAUUCCUGUGCUCCCACUGGCCAGAUUGUGAUCUGUAGUUACACUGCUCCCUUCCCCUUUGGGAAAUGGACUUCCACCCUUGCAAGGCAUGCAGCUCUCAACCACACGUGGUUCUCCUGUGUGAGUACAGUGGGGGAAAAACCAGAAUUUGAAGCCAGCCCUCCACCUUCACAAAGGGAAAGGAAAGCCGUGAGCAGCUCCGUUCCCAAUUAACAGCUCGAUUCCUAAUUACAA